AAAUUUUUGUUCCCACAAUCCUCUGUGGAGAACAAUCAGACUUGUUAGCAUCACUGAUAAGCACCAGCCUUGGGCAAAGGGGAAUUGAGCAGCUUGCUCUUAUUUAUCUCUUAGACAAACUUUGUGGGUGGAGAUCUGCAAGCUUGGUAUGAGAGGUUGCUGAGGAGGGGAGUCUUGUGUUGGUGGGAUAGCCCUGUUUUGGCAGCAGAACAGAAUCUUGAGGGCCAUGGUGCCCAAGUGAAACCUUUUGCUUCAUUAUGUGUAAAAUGAAGUUAACACCCUGAAUAUGCUAAUGAGCUUAAUGAAUUAUAUGCUAAACAUAUAUGACUAUAGUGUUUGACUCUUCACCCAAAUCAUGUUAAAUGUCACCCCUGGGGAGGGAAUGGAUAAGGUUAGGAUAUAAUAGAGUGCUAAGAGAAAAAAAAAAAAAGGAAAAAAAAAAAAAGAGAGAGAGAGCAAGGAAAAAAGAGCUGCUGGGGAGGAAGAACAUGCAUUUGGAAACCUAGUAGGGGCAGCUGAUGGGCUGUGCUCCUUCUUCACCAAAACAGGGACACUUUCUUGUGCUUUCAGGCAACAAGCACUUGGCCACCACCUUGACCUCACUGGAAGACCAACCUGAGCAAAAGUCACCUUCAUAUUAGCCUAAAUCUCAAAGCCUGAGAAGAGCACCACAAACUAACAGGUUUGUGUCAGCACAGGAGAACAAGAGUAACAUGAAGCAACCAAUGGAGUUCACUCCAUCAGGAAAAUACGCCCAGGAAAACCUGCAAACCUUUCUGUUGCUUGUGCUAUCCUCUCGCAAUUGAGAUGGACACCAGGGAAUCUCCAGCUGCUCCCCUGAAGAAGACAUAUAAAUGUAGUUUUUAACCCUAUGCAGAAGGAACCUAAGCAAAAAAUCCAAAUAAAAAUUAAAUAUAUAUAUAUAAAAAUACAAAUAAAAAUAAAAGCAUGUGGCAGAUGCUUUCAGAA
Anas platyrhynchos (mallard) is the source of this 969-nucleotide long non-coding RNA. RefSeq lists it as uncharacterized. The record is from RefSeq and is a predicted model, not a curated record. Lineage: Eukaryota; Metazoa; Chordata; Aves; Anseriformes; Anatidae.